CAGCAGCCACGGUAACACGGAGGGUGCAAGCGUUACUCGGAAUUACUGGGCGUAAAGCGUGCGUAGGUGGUGGUUUAAGUCCGUUGUGAAAGCCCUGGGCUCAACCUGGGAAUUGCAGUGGAUACUGGGUCACUAGAGUGUGGUAGAGGAUAGUGGAAUUUCCGGUGUAGCAGUGAAAUGCGUAGAGAUUGGAAGGAACAUCUGUGGCGAAGGCGACUAUCUGGGCCAACACUGACACUGAGGCACGAAAGCGUGGGGAGCAAACAGGAUUAGAUACCCGUGUAGUCCCUGUCUCUUAUAC
Molecule: ribosomal RNA, 301 nt
Filed under: uncultured bacterium
Lineage: Bacteria
Description: partial 16S ribosomal RNA
Rfam family: Bacterial small subunit ribosomal RNA
Source: RNAcentral